GCCCAACUCCUACGGGAGGCAGCAGUAGGGAAUCUUGCACAAUGGGGGAAACCCUGAUGCAGCGAUGCCGCGUGAGUGAAGAAGGCCUUUGGGUUGUAAAGCUCUUUCGUCGGGGAAGAAAAUGACUGUACCCGAAUAAGAAGGUCCGGCUAACUUCGUGCCAGCAGCCGCGGUAAUACGAAGGGACCUAGCGUAGUUCGGAAUUACUGGGCUUAAAGAGUUCGUAGGUGGUUAAAAAAGUUGGUGGUGAAAUCCCAGAGCUUAACUCUGGAACUGCCAUCAAAACUUUUUAGCUAGAGUAUGAUAGAGGAAAGCAGAAUUUCUAGUGUAGAGGUGAAAUUCGUAGAUAUUAGAAAGAAUACCAAUUGCGAAGGCAGCUUUCUGGAUCAUUACUGACACUGAGGAACGAAAGCAUGGGUAGCGAAGAGGAUUAGAUACCCUCGUAGUCCAUGCCGUAAACGAUGUGUGUUAGACGUUGGAAAUUUAUUUUCUGUGUCGCAGCGAAAGCAAUAAACACACCGCCUGGGGAGUACGACCGCAAGGUUAAAACUCAAAUGAAUUGACGGGGACCCGCACAAGUAGUGGAGCAUGUGGUUUAAUUCGAAGAUACGCGCAGAACCUUACCAACACUUGACAUGUUCGUCGCGACUUUAAGAGAUUAAAGUUUUCGGUUCGGCCGGACGAAACACAGGUGCUGCAUGGCUGUCGUCAGCUCGUGUCGUGAGAUGUUGGGUUAAGUCCCGCAACGAGCGCAACCCUCACUUUUAGUUGCCAUCAUUAAGUUGGGCACUCUGAAAGAACUGCCAGUGAUAAGCUGGAGGAAGGUGGGGAUGACGUCAAGUCCUCAUGGCCCUUACGUGUUGGGCUACACACGUGCUACAAUGGCAUUUACAAUAGGAAGCAAGACGGCGA
RNAcentral lists this ribosomal RNA (912 nucleotides) under marine metagenome. RNAcentral's name for it is "bacterial SSU rRNA". It matches the Rfam family "Bacterial small subunit ribosomal RNA", at positions 330 to 1260 of the family's 1533-position model. The record is from RNAcentral.